AGAAGAAAACAGCAGCAGCGCUUUUAGCAAAAGAAGGGAGCUAAAAGAAGUUUAAAAGAAGAAAUAAGUGUAAUUAAUUCUUCUUGGUCGCACACAGCCAACGAGAGAUGGAGCCUUUGCGGUAUGUUGUUGUAGAAUUUGAAGACGAAGCUGGAAGUGGAGAAACCAGCCUUAAAGUUGUCCCCGAGACUUGGAGAGACACAGAGAGACAUCGGAGUUUUCUCUACCCUUCCCACUACUCAGACAGCCGAGUUUUGAAAGCAGCCAGGAAAGGGAGCCCCCUACAGACCAGUGGAGGUCCUACCCCGUUUGCAGAGAAUGGUUUACCACUGAUUCAUGGGAGAAAGCAAACCACAGAUGUGAUAAGCUUGCCAUAACUUCCAACCCGAGUGAUAUCAAAGCUGAAGAUGUUCCCAAGAAGAGGC
Thalassophryne amazonica is the source of this 425-nucleotide long non-coding RNA. RefSeq lists it as uncharacterized. The record is from RefSeq and is a predicted model, not a curated record. The transcript has 3 exons. NCBI's taxonomy places the organism in Eukaryota, Metazoa, Chordata, Actinopteri, Batrachoidiformes, Batrachoididae.